Molecule: non-coding RNA, 216 nt
Organism: Pelobates cultripes (western spadefoot toad)
Lineage: Eukaryota; Metazoa; Chordata; Amphibia; Anura; Pelobatidae
Source: the annotation of a GenBank genome assembly
CUUGGAUCAAGCAGCUAUUACCCCACUAAUUAGAAAUUAUAUCCCUGUAUGUUAUGUUUUUGCAAGUAUUUAUCCAAUUGCAGUUUAAACAUCUGUAUAGACUCUGACAAAACCACCUCUUCGGGCAAAGCAUUCCAUAUCCUUAUUGCUCUUACUGUAAAAAAAACCUUUUCUUUGCCUUAGAUGAAAUCGCCUUUCUUCCAGCCUAAAUGUGUG